This is a long non-coding RNA of Peromyscus eremicus (cactus mouse), 2725 nucleotides long. RefSeq lists it as uncharacterized. Lineage: Eukaryota; Metazoa; Chordata; Mammalia; Rodentia; Cricetidae. The record is from RefSeq and is a predicted model, not a curated record. The transcript is spliced from 2 exons.
UGUAGAACUGAAUUGUAUUGCAAAAUAAAAAAAAAAACUAUAAGAAGGGAGACAAUAUAGAAAGAAUGCCCAUGUGUCUGAGACCAGAGUGAGAUACAAGAUGAACACCCAAACAACAGGGGUUACCCCUCAAGUGAUUGCUACUACCAGCAACACCAAAUUACAAGCAUCUUCACAAUGAACAGAAGACCAUGGCUUCUGGAAGUUCACCAUGAUACUUCCCACCACUUUAAGGAUAAGGUUCACCCUAGAACAACAAUCAAACCCUACCAAAAAGGGAUGAAAUGCAGAGAAGAGAGAUAUGAGUCCUGCCUGGACCAACACAGAUUAAGGAAAGCAUCUAAGUGAAUAAACCCAAAUAGAAGAUUCUUGGAGUUCUUCAUCCAAGGUAUUCUCAAUACACUCAGCCCUGUACUUCAACACAGUCACAAUGGAGCCCUUUGAUCUCUUCCUUUGGUCAUGGACUCAUAAACCAGAUCCACUGAUACAGUUUCUCACCCCUAGUUCUCUCCUCCCAUGUGGUCCUCUCCUUUCUGCCCAAGGCUACUGAAUAUAUGUCCAGUGUAUGCAGAAAGCACACUCACUCCUGGAAGGUGACACCUUAUAGGAACAACAGACACAGCUUCAUUGAUGAUCAUUAUUAGAAGCUCUGCCAAUACCCUGGAAUAAACCUCAUUAAAGGGGAACUUCCAUGCCAGGAUUGCUACCCUCACUAGCACACACCUCAGCCUCCAUGGCUCCUGAGGGAUUCCUGGAAUUCUCUCCAACCAAUCCCAUCUGUUAGUUCAGAAUCCCAUCUUCCCAUUGGCUUCUGCCCUGUUUAUGACAUCAUUCUCCCUCCAACCCUACCAUCACCUGGUAGGUACUUGUGGUUGGCAUGGCAAUGCCUGUAAACAAAUUUGGAUCAUCACAGGUCACCUGCGACCAGUGACCAGUAAGUGCUGUCUGAUACUGGACACACUUGUGACUCAGGUCAGCUGAUCACACAUGGACAACCAAUUCUCUUGCUCCAUUAUACUGUGGAUUGCUGAUACUCUCCCUCUGACCAUGGCAGUGGUGCAAAGGGAGACUUCCCUGGGAAUCACACAUCAAUCCAGAGACUCCCUCAGCUGCAGAACAGACCUCUGCUACUCCUACACCCUGGAUUACCAGAUGAGAACACCACCUGUUGAUGGAGACAAGACAUUACCUACCCCAACUACAACCUUCAGAAUUCCUUGUAUUGUCACAAGCUCCAUGACUGGAACUGCAUUCCCAGAUAAGGACACCAACUAUUGAUGGGGACAAGUCAUUAACAGUACCCAACCUUCAGAAUUCCUGGUAUUUCCACAAGCUCCAUGCCUGGAACAGAGAAUGACAACCUGCAUGAGAUGGCAGCAAAUCUGUCAAUGCCUCUGGAUGCCUAUGAGUGCAUGAAAGAAAACCCGGACCCAUCUCUCCUCCCUUUAGCACACCCCGACAUGCAGCAUCCCUUGCACUUCACUGAUGCUGGGAGCCUAGGGCAGAAGCUUGCUUCUGACAAUGCCACCAGGGAAAGCAGCAGUCAUGGUCAGGAUGAGCCUGGAACAUGCACAGUGUGUUGGCCUCCAGCAUGGACUUGCAGACAUGACUAUGCUGAUGGCAGAAGUUCACAUUCCCAACUGCUUAACUCCCUCUCUGAACUAAACCAAUUCCAGGUUCCCACAGCCACCUAAUGCAAAGACUCCAUAGUCUUCAGGAGCAAUCAGGCCCAGUAAAGAUAAGGUGUCAUCAGCACACCCUUAAACCUGUUGAGGAUGAAGGAAGAGAGACACUCUAAUCUGCUUCAUGGAGAAUCUCUAGCCAGAAUCCAGUAUCAGGACCUUGUGGAAGGAGAGAAGCUUUGGCUAGUGCUGUGGCCAGAAGGAGAUAUUGACAACACAGACAAGCAAAUGGAGGGAAAGCUCAGAAGGUCACACUCUGUAGGCUCAGUAGACCUAGGGUUCAUGGGCAAGUUGAGACCAAAAAGAGCUAGAGAAAUCAACUCCAUGAAAGCUGAAGGAUCUGAAGCCAUCAAGUCAGUCAUGGCAGAAGAGAAGCCCACUGUCCUCCACAACAAUAGGAAGUGGAAUCCACUUGAGCUCAGCCAUCAUAGCUUUAAAAAGCCUCAAACACACCUCGGCUUGCACAUGCUGGUGUCUGUGAAGGUCUGUCACUCACUGUGGAAGAAGGGAGAGAAGAAAACUGGCAUCUCCUGAACCUUCAACUCUUUGUGCUACUCUGUGCUCUAAUAGUAUCAGAGUUUGUUACACUUUGGCCUCUGAGACAUUUGUCAUUAUCUUUUUCCAGGGUUACAUAUACUAAACAAAAUAAUUUAUUUAUUAACUCACUUUCAGAUUCUUGAGACAGGGACCCUCUCCAUAGCCCAGCAUGUCCUAGAACUGACUACAUCGAACACGCAACAUUGAACUCAUGAAGAUCUGCCUGCCUCCCCCUCUGCCUCCAUCUCCAUCUCAGCCUCUGCCUCCCCUUCUGUCUCCACUUCUGCCUCCUCCUCCUCUGCUGCCUCAAGAGUGCUGAGACUAAAGGAAUGCUCCAAGAAGCCAGGUGGAAUCCAGAUUCUUUCUGUACAUGUGAAUAACAUUUCCAUGCAUGUCUUGAUGAAGAGGCCAUGUGUACUCCAGGGUGCAUUUUUGGUACAUACCUAAAAUCCAAAGAGACUAAACCACAUGUGUUUACAACCGCAACUAAACUCGGAUUAAUCUUU